UAUUAUUUAAAAUGUAAAUAAAUUUAUUAAAGUAGUAAUAGUUAUGUUCUUGAAACUUAAAAAAUUUGGCGGUAUUUUAAUCUUUCCAGAGGAACCUGUUUUGUAAUCGAUAAUCCACGAUGGACCUUACUUAAUUUUGUAAUCAGUUUAUAUACCGUCGUUAUUAGAAUAUUUUAUAAGAAUAAUAAUAUUCAAUAAUUUUUAAAAAAAUAUAUAUCAGAUCAAGGUGUAGCUUAUAAUUAAGUAAUAAUGGGUUACAAUAAAUUUAUUUAAACGGAUAAAAUUAUGAAAAAAUUUUUGAAGGUGGAUUUGGUAGUAAAAUUAUAAAGAUAAAUAAUUUGAUUUUAGCUCUAAAAUAUGUACACAUCGCCCGUCGCUCUUAUUAAUAAGGUAAGAUAAGUCGUAACAUAGUAGAUGUACUGGAAAGUGUAUCUAGAAUGA
Molecule: ribosomal RNA, 441 nt
Filed under: Drosophila austrosaltans
Lineage: Eukaryota; Metazoa; Arthropoda; Insecta; Diptera; Drosophilidae
Description: partial 12S ribosomal RNA
Source: RNAcentral